Molecule: long non-coding RNA, 415 nt
Filed under: Gossypium raimondii (Peruvian cotton)
Lineage: Eukaryota; Viridiplantae; Streptophyta; Magnoliopsida; Malvales; Malvaceae
Description: long non-coding RNA (GRAI_LNC010553)
Source: RNAcentral
AGAAAACCAAGUUUUACAAAACAUAGAAUCGAAACCUACCAUAUAUUCACAAAAACACUUAGAACACGUCAAGGUCCACACAAUCGAGACAACAAAUUGAAAUUGAGGAAUUUGAACCCACACCUAAUUCGUGAUCAAAGACGUUUAGAACUCGACUCAAUGACCAAGAAAUUGAAGCUCUCCGAAAACCACAACACCAUCGUUUUAAAAAAAAGAAAGAACAAAAAAGAGAACUAAGAAAAGGGGAAAAGGAGAACGUCCAAAAAAGAAAGAAAAAGAAAAAUAAUAAUAACACUAAAUAAAGAAAAUAAUUAUCUAAACCUUUAAAGCAAAACAUAAAAAAAAUGGUCCCACCAAACACUUUUGAGGACUCGAACCCAGGACCCAAGGGUACAUUAGCACACUACCAACCGCC